Molecule: long non-coding RNA, 202 nt
Filed under: Nicotiana benthamiana
Lineage: Eukaryota; Viridiplantae; Streptophyta; Magnoliopsida; Solanales; Solanaceae
Description: long non-coding RNA (NBEN_LNC037670)
Source: RNAcentral
CUUCUCUGAAGAUGCCUUUGGAUCUUGGUAAAGAGGAAGCUGGCCUAUACAAACUGUCGUGGGUGCCUCCUUCCCCUUCUCCCUCUCCUGGUUCUCCUCUUACUUCUGUAUGUGCUUUGUCUGACUUUUGUAAUGAUGACAAUGUGUCUGACAGCAAAAAUCUUGGCUUGCCUACAAUUGUAAACAAUUCCAUUUGUAAUAA